CCUACGGGAGGCAGCAGUGGGGAAUAUUGGGCAAUGGGCGCAAGCCUGACCCAGCAACGCCGCGUGAAGGAAGAAGGCUUUCGGGUUGUAAACUUCUUUUCUCAGGGACGAAGCAAGUGACGGUACCUGAGGAAUAAGCCACGGCUAACUACGUGCCAGCAGCCGCGGUAAUACGUAGGUGGCAAGCGUUAUCCGGAUUUACUGGGUGUAAAGGGCGUGUAGGCGGGAAAGCAAGUCAGAUGUGAAAACCAUGGGCUCAACCUGUGGCCUGCAUUUGAAACUGGUUUUCUUGAGUACUGGAGAGGCAGACGGAAUUCCUGGUGUAGCGGUGAAAUGCGUAGAGAUUAGGAGGAACACCAGUGGCGAAGGCGGUCUGCUGGACAGCAACUGACGCUGAGGCGCGAAAGCGUGGGGAGCAAACAGGAUUAGAUACCCUAGUAGUC
This 443-nucleotide ribosomal RNA is filed under the name uncultured bacterium. RNAcentral describes it as "partial 16S ribosomal RNA". It matches the Rfam family "Bacterial small subunit ribosomal RNA", at positions 338 to 795 of the family's 1533-position model. The record is from RNAcentral.